GCCGGGCUGGCGAAACUGGCAAACGCGGCGGACUCAAAAUCCGCUGGGCCCCAAGCCCUUGGGGGUUCGACUCCCCCGCCCGGCACCA
Molecule: transfer RNA, 88 nt
Filed under: Pseudomonadota bacterium
Lineage: Bacteria; Pseudomonadati; Pseudomonadota
Also listed under: 1 other name
Description: tRNA-Leu
Rfam family: tRNA
About the family: Transfer RNA (tRNA) molecules are approximately 80 nucleotides in length.
Source: RNAcentral